This 340-nucleotide unclassified non-coding RNA is filed under the name uncultured Mortierella. Its description in RNAcentral is "sequence contains ITS2". Lineage: Eukaryota; Fungi; Mortierellomycota; Mortierellomycetes; Mortierellales; Mortierellaceae. The record is from RNAcentral.
AACGCAUAUUGCGCUCUUUGGUAUUCCGAAGAGCAUGCUUGUUUGAGUAUCAGUAAACACCUCACCUCGUAUUUUUCUUGUAAAAUUACGAGAUGGACUUGAGCUCUCCCAACACUACUUGUAGUGGCGGGUUGCUUGAAAUGCAGGUGCAGCUGGACUUGGUCUGAGCUAAAAGCAUAUUUAUUUAGUCCCGUCAAACGGAUUAUUACUUUUGCUGCAGCUAACAUAAAGGAUCAAUUGUCCGAUGCUGACUGAUGCAGGAUUCACAAGUUUUUUUGUCGCAAGACAUCAUUCUUGUAAACUCGAUCUCAAAUCAAGUAAGACUACCCGCUGAACUUAA